CUUCAUCUGGACUCUCACAGCGUUUGCUCAAGAGUGUAGAGGACAGAUCACCGUCACUCAGAGUCCCUCAAUGACAGCAGCUCAACCAGGACAAACUGUGGAGAUCAACUGUAAAACCAGCACAGAUGUGACCAGUUAUUCUGGGAUAUACUUAUUCAGCUGGUACUUACAGAAACCUGGAGAAGCUCCUAAACUCCUGAUUUAUGGAGCAAACACCCUCCAGUCAGGAACUCCAUCUAGAUUCAGUGGCAGUGGAUCUAACAGUGAUUUCACUCUGACCAUCAGUGGAGUCCAGACUGAAGAUGCUGGACAUUAUUACUGUCAGAGUUUCCACUGCAGAACAGAUUCUGAUGGUGAUUGUGAGGGUGAUGAAACAUUCACACAGUGAUAAAGAGUCGUACAAAAACCUCCGUCAGUCAGAGUCACAGUGACUGAACUGAUACUGCAGCUGCUCAAAGGAGGAUCUGAAACAACAUCAUCACACAAUCAUCUGAAAUAAAAUCAUCUAGGGCUGCACAA
Megalobrama amblycephala (Wuchang bream) is the source of this 519-nucleotide non-coding RNA. The record is from the annotation of a RefSeq genome assembly. Lineage: Eukaryota; Metazoa; Chordata; Actinopteri; Cypriniformes; Xenocyprididae.